GACGAACGCUGGCGGCGUGCUUAACACAUGCAAGUCGAACGGAAAGGCCCUGCUUUUGUGGGUUGCUCGAGUGGCGAACGGGUGAGUAACACGUGAGUAACCUGCCCUUGACUUUGGGAUAACUUCAGGAAACUGGGGCUAAUACCGGAUAGGAGCUCCUGCUGCAUGGUGGGGGUUGGAAAGUUUCGGCGGUUGGGGAUGGACUCGCGGCUUAUCAGCUUGUUGGUGGGGUAGUGGCUUACCAAGGCUUUGACGGGUAGCCGGCCUGAGAGGGUGACCGGCCACAUUGGGACUGAGAGACGGCCCAGACUCCUACGGGAGGCAGCAGUGGGGAAUAUUGCAGAAUGGGCGGAAGCCUGAUGCAGCAACGCCGCGUGCGGGAUGACGGCCUUCGGGUUGUAAACCGCUUUCGCCUGUGACGAAGCGUGAGUGACGGUAAUGGGUAAAGAAGCACCGGCUAACUACGUG
RNAcentral lists this ribosomal RNA (468 nucleotides) under uncultured bacterium. Its description in RNAcentral is "partial 16S ribosomal RNA". It matches the Rfam family "Bacterial small subunit ribosomal RNA", at positions 28 to 507 of the family's 1533-position model. The record is from RNAcentral.